AUACGGAGGGUCCGAGCGUUAUCCGGAAUCAUUGGGUUUAAAGGGUCCGUAGGCGGGAAUCUAAGUCAGUGGUGAAAUCUUGCAGCUCAACUGUAAAAUUGCCAUUGAUACUGGAUUUCUUAAAUUAGUGUGAAGUGGUUAGAAUGUGUAGUGUAGCGGUGAAAUGCAUAGAUAUUACACAGAAUACCAAUUGCGAAGGCAGAUCACUAACACUAUAUUGACGCUAAGGGACGAAAGCGUGGGGAGCGAACAGGAUUAGAAACCCUAGUAGUCC
Molecule: ribosomal RNA, 274 nt
Filed under: uncultured bacterium
Lineage: Bacteria
Description: partial 16S ribosomal RNA
Rfam family: Bacterial small subunit ribosomal RNA
Source: RNAcentral